Molecule: ribosomal RNA, 480 nt
Filed under: Auricularia mesenterica
Lineage: Eukaryota; Fungi; Basidiomycota; Agaricomycetes; Auriculariales; Auriculariaceae
Description: eukaryotic LSU rRNA
Rfam family: Eukaryotic large subunit ribosomal RNA
Source: RNAcentral
UUUGAAAUCUGGCGGUCUAAGGCCGUCCGAGUUGUAAUCUAGAGAGGUGUUUUCCGUGCCGGACCGUGUACAAGUCCCUUGGAACAGGGCGUCGUAGAGGGUGAGAAUCCCGUCCAUGACACGGACUACCGGUGCUCUGUGAUACACCUUCAAAGAGUCGAGUUGUUUGGGAAUGCAGCUCAAAACGGGUGGUAAAUUCCAUCUAAAGCUAAAUACAGGCGAGAGACCGAUAGCGAACAAGUACCGUGAGGGAAAGAUGAAAAGAACUUUGGAAAGAGAGUUAAACAGUACGUGAAAUUGUUGAAAGGGAAACGCUUGAAGUCAGUCGCGUCCGCCGGGACUCAGCCUUGCUUCUGCUUGGUGCACUUCUCGGUGGAUGGGCCAGCAUCGAUUUUGGCCGCCGGAAAAGGGCGGGAGGAAUGUGGCAGCUUUUUGCUGUGUUAUAGCCUCCCGUCGUACACGGUGGCCGGGAUCGAGGAA